RNAcentral lists this ribosomal RNA (497 nucleotides) under uncultured bacterium. Its description in RNAcentral is "partial 16S ribosomal RNA". It matches the Rfam family "Bacterial small subunit ribosomal RNA", at positions 28 to 507 of the family's 1533-position model. The record is from RNAcentral.
GAUGAACGCUGGCGGCGUGCCUAAUACAUGCAAGUCGAGCGAACAGACGAGGAGCUUGCUCCUCUGACGUUAGCGGCGGACGGGUGAGUAACACGUGGAUAACCUACCUAUAAGACUGGGAUAACUUCGGGAAACCGGAGCUAAUACCGGAUAACAUGUUGAACCGCAUGGUUCAACAGUGAAAGACGGUUUUGCUGUCACUUAUAGAUGGAUCCGCGUCGCAUUAGCUAGUUGGUAAGGUAACGGCUUACCAAGGCAACGAUGCGUAGCCGACCUGAGAGGGGGAUCGGCCACACGGGAACUGAGACACGGUCCAGACUCCUACGGGAGGCAGCAGUAGGGAAUCUUCCGCAAUGGGCGAAAGCCUGACGGAGCAACGCCGCGUGAGUGAAGAAGGUCUUCGGAUCGUAAAACUCUGUUAUUAGGGAAGAACAAAUGUGUAAGUAACUAUGCACGUCUUGACGGUACCUAAUCAGAAAGCCACGGCUAACUACGUG